GUAGUCUCGCACAGAUGCAUAUCAAUAAGCGGAGGAAAAGAAACUAACAAGGAUUCCCUCAGUAACGGCGAGUGAAGCGGGAAGAGCUCAAAUUUGAAAUCUUGAAAGGUCACCUUUCACGAAUUGUAGUUUAAAGAAGUGUUUUCUGUUACGAUCGUAAUAUAAGUUCUUUGGAAUAGGACAUCACAGAGGGUGAGAAUCCCGUCUAUGAUUGCGAUUUGUAGCUUUGUGUUACACUUUCAAAGAGUCGGGUUGUUUGGGAAUGCAGCCCAAAACGGGAGGUAAAUUCCUUCUAAGGCUAAAUAUUGGCGAGAGACCGAUAGCGAACAAGUACCGUGAGGGAAAGAUGAAAAGAACUUUGAAAAGAGAGUUAAAUAGUACGUGAAAUUGUCAAAAGGGAAGCGUUUAACACCAGUGUUGUUUUCUGAAAAUCAACCUCUGUUAGCUUUAUGCAUGUUUGUUUAGACCUAAUCAGCUAUCUUGCAUGUUCUAUUGUUUGCAGUGGUGCACUUUUCAGUUUACAGGUCAACAUCAGUUUUUUUUACCGUAAAAAAGUUAAAGAAAGGUAGCUCAUGGCUCCGGUCGUGAGUGUUAUAGUCUUUUUCCUAUGCGGUAGGAGAGACUGAGGUCUGCAGUGUAGGCUAUUUGGCUAGAUACUCAGGUGCUAUGUGAUACCAUUUCAUAAACAACUUGUUGAUUAUGUUUUGUCUAUUGCAUACUCGCUUGUACUAUCAUACCUACGCUUAGGAUGUUGAGUCGUAGAGCACGCAG
RNAcentral lists this ribosomal RNA (771 nucleotides) under uncultured Neocallimastigales. RNAcentral's name for it is "partial large subunit ribosomal RNA". It matches the Rfam family "Eukaryotic large subunit ribosomal RNA", at positions 24 to 628 of the family's 3401-position model. Lineage: Eukaryota; Fungi; Neocallimastigomycota; Neocallimastigomycetes; Neocallimastigales. The record is from RNAcentral.